Molecule: ribosomal RNA, 213 nt
Filed under: uncultured bacterium
Lineage: Bacteria
Description: partial 16S ribosomal RNA
Rfam family: Bacterial small subunit ribosomal RNA
Source: RNAcentral
UACGUAGGAUGCAAGCGUUGUCCGGAAUUAUUGGGCGUAAAGAGCUCGUAGGCGGUUUGUCGCGUCUGCUGUGAAACCUAAGGCUCAACCUUGGGCUUGCAGUGGGUACGGCAGACUAGAGUGCGGUAGGGUGACUGGAAUUCCUGGUGUAGCGGUGGAAUGCGCAGAUAUCAGGAGGAACACCGGUGGCGGAAGGCGGUCUCUGGGAAGUAC